This 552-nucleotide ribosomal RNA is filed under the name Triticum aestivum (bread wheat). RNAcentral describes it as "partial small subunit ribosomal RNA". Lineage: Eukaryota; Viridiplantae; Streptophyta; Magnoliopsida; Poales; Poaceae. The record is from RNAcentral.
AUGGUAAGCACAUGCAAAUUGUGUCUUCAGUCUGACGAAGAUAUGAUGCACGCACUACUGGAGUGCCCUCACGCCAGACAGUUUUGGGAUGCAACACCAGAGUGGCUAAAUGUUAAAAGGCCGACCCUGCACCCGCUAACCUGGUCAAGGGAUAUCCUAUGUGACGAUAUAUUUUCAGAGUCUGAAAGAGCGACUCUAGUGACUGUUAUGUGGACGAUUUGGACCUCUCGGAACAAUAUCACCCACGACAAAGCUGCGUUCAAUCCUAGCCAAUCCAUGAGAAAGGUGCGGGAAACCCUAGCAGUUCUGGAGCUGCCUCGUGAGCAUGCCCGUACUUUGUCGGGCCAUGGCUGGCGCCCACCAGAGUUGGGCUGGAUCAAAAUAAAUAUUGAUGGAAGUAUUGCAAUGGAUGCAAGAAGGGGAGGGACGGGGGGAGUUGCUCGAUCUCGGUCUUCCUUUCUUGCGGCAUGGUGCAAACCCUACCCUGGGAUCACGGAUCCACUGAUAGCUGAAGCUCUUGCCAUUCGCGAGGAGUCAUCUUCGCUCAUCUGA